This 78-nucleotide non-coding RNA is filed under the name Pseudovibrio sp. Lineage: Bacteria; Pseudomonadati; Pseudomonadota; Alphaproteobacteria; Hyphomicrobiales; Stappiaceae. The record is from RNAcentral.
UGCCUAUUCCGUGGUGAUUUGGUCGACCGGCUUGCAACCACGUUAAACAAGUAGCUAAAGGGUCGGGUUCUUGUAUAG